Molecule: long non-coding RNA, 1058 nt
Filed under: Oreochromis niloticus (Nile tilapia)
Lineage: Eukaryota; Metazoa; Chordata; Actinopteri; Cichliformes; Cichlidae
Description: lncRNA (ENSONIG00000027589.1)
Source: RNAcentral
UCCAGACCAAAAUACACAAUUUUGCUCUACAAGGGCCUGAUAUCCACUUACGAGGACAUUAUACUGCCACUGUUCUAUCGAAAUUUGAAACGAAUGUCCUCAUAUGUGGAUCUCAUUUGUCUCCGAAACAAAAAUCAGGUAAAAAAAACCAUCUGGUAAUUCUUUGUUUUUACAUUCAUCAGGUCCCAAUCAGCCCAAAUAGCGAAGAGAACUUAAAAAUGCAUGCCAUGAAAGAGUUCAGGUCUUAGGGGGUUUUAAAGCAGAGUAGAGUCAAUUCUUUAACUAACCUUUUUAAAAACUUGUGUUAUUUUUAAUAAGUGCUACAGCUGCUAGACUACUGGAACUACUGGACACAUGUGGCCGUUUUCAUUUAGGACAGUUAUUAUAGUUGUUUUUUACUCUACAUUAACUUUAUUGUUGAUCUAACUGCAUCGUAUGGAUCAUUUUAGAAGACUGAAGUCCUAGACUCCACCUUUGUCUAGGGGACUGUUAUUCUAUGUGCGUGCAGGCAACGAGUCAAGGUCCCCCAUCAAAGAGGAAAUGACUUCAGGAGACCCGAGGGCCUCUGCAGAGCCAGGAGGGAGGCUGAGAGAAGUGAGCUGCCACAGACGAGAGCUGAUUACAUCUCUGCGCUGCGACAUUGUUGAUGUUUGGCUGAGUGAAAUUACAGGUGUUUCCAGCAACAAAGUACAUGCUUUCACACAUACACACACAUCUCCCACUCACUGCUCACUAAACCACAAACCCCCCCAGCUGAGACAAACCAUUAUAUAGGCGCUUGCUAUAGAUCUGUGAGAUGUACACGGUCUGUGGUGGAGCUGCUAACACACACAGACACACACACACACACGCACACACACACACACACACACACACACACACACACACACGCACACACACACACGCAUAUUUGAAUUAACACACAGGUUUGUUCGUUCUCUUUUCUGUUGUCUUUCUUACCCACAACCACUUUUUCGUAUUUUCUCUCUCACACACACACACUUAUAAAUUCACACACACUUCGCUUUGCAACAUUUUCUCUCGUCCAGACUCUACAC